AUUGAACGCUGGCGGCAGGCCUAACACAUGCAAGUCGAGCGGAUGAAGGGAGCUUGCUCCUGGAUUCAGCGGCGGACGGGUGAGUAAUGCCUAGGAAUCUGCCUGGUAGUGGGGGAUAACGUCCGGAAACGGGCGCUAAUACCGCAUACGUCCUGAGGGAGAAAGGGGGGGAUCUUCGGACCUCACGCUAUCAGAUGAGCCUAGGUCGGAUUAGCUAGUUGGUGGGGUAAAGGCCUACCAAGGCGACGAUCCGUAACUGGUCUGAGAGGAUGAUCAGUCACACUGGAACUGAGACACGGUCCAGACUCCUACGGGAGGCAGCAGUGGGGAAUAUUGGACAAUGGGCGAAAGCCUGAUCCAGCCAUGCCGCGUGUGUGAAGAAGGUCUUCGGAUUGUAAAGCACUUUAAGUUGGGAGGAAGGGCAGUAAGUUAAUACCUUGCUGUUUUGACGUUACCAACAGAGUAAGCACCGGCUAACUUCGUG
Molecule: ribosomal RNA, 484 nt
Filed under: uncultured bacterium
Lineage: Bacteria
Description: partial 16S ribosomal RNA
Rfam family: Bacterial small subunit ribosomal RNA
Source: RNAcentral